AUUGAACGCUGGCGGCAUGCCUUACACAUGCAAGUCGAACGGUAACGGGUCCUUCGGGAUGCCGACGAGUGGCGAACGGGUGAGUAAUAUAUCGGAACGUGCCCAGUAGUGGGGGAUAACUGCUCGAAAGAGCAGCUAAUACCGCAUACGACCUGAGGGUGAAAGGGGGGGAUCGCAAGACCUCUCGCUAUUGGAGCGGCCGAUAUCAGAUUAGCUAGUUGGUGGGGUAAAGACCUACCAAGGCAACGAUCUGUAGUUGGUCUGAGAGGACGACCAGCCACACUGGGACUGAGACACGGCCCAGACUCCUACGGGAGGCAGCAGUGGGGAAUUUUGGACAAUGGGCGCAAGCCUGAUCCAGCAAUGCCGCGUGCAGGAAGAAGGCCUUCGGGUUGUAAACUGCUUUUGUCAGGGAAGAAAUCUUCUGGGCUAAUACCCCGGGAGGAUGACGGUACCUGAAGAAUAAGCACCGGCUAACUACGUGCCAGCAGCCGCGGUAAUACGUAGGGUGCGAGCGUUAAUCGGAAUUACUGGGCGUAAAGCGUGCGUAGGCGGCUUUGCAAGACAGAUGUGAAAUCCCCGGGCUCAACCUGGGAACUGCAUUUGUGACUGCAAGGCUAGAGUACGGCAGAGGGGGAUGGAAUUCCGCGUGUAGCAGUGAAAUGCGUAGAUAUGCGGAGGAACACCAAUGGCGAAGGCAAUCCCCUGGGCCUGUACUGACGCUCAUGCACGAAAGCGUGGGGAGCAAACAGGAUUAGAUACCCUGGUAGUCCACGCCCUAAACGAUGUCAACUGGUUGUUGGACGGCUUGCUGUUCAGUAACGAAGCUAACGCGUGAAGUUGACCGCCUGGGGAGUACGGCCGCAAGGUUGAAACUCGAAGGAAUUGACGGGGACCCGCACAAGCGGUGGAUGAUGUGGUUUAAUUCGAUGCAACGCGAAAAACCUUACCUACCCUUGACAUGUCAAGAAUUCUGCAGAGAUGUGGAAGUGCUCGAAAGAGAACUUGAACACAGGUGCUGCAUGGCCGUCGUCAGCUCGUGUCGUGAGAUGUUGGGUUAAGUCCCGCAACGAGCGCAACCCUUGUCAUUAGUUGCUACGCAAGAGCACUCUAAUGAGACUGCCGGUGACAAACCGGAGGAAGGUGGGGAUGACGUCAGGUCCUCAUGGCCCUUAUGGGUAGGGCUACACACGUCAUACAAUGGCCGGUACAGAGGGCUGCCAACCCGCGAGGGGGAGCCAAUCCCAGAAAACCGGUCGUAGUCCGGAUCGUAGUCUGCAACUCGACUGCGUGAAGUCGGAAUCGCUAGUAAUCGCGGAUCAGCUUGCCGCGGUGAAUACGUUCCCGGGUCU
RNAcentral lists this ribosomal RNA (1352 nucleotides) under uncultured bacterium. RNAcentral's name for it is "bacterial SSU rRNA". It matches the Rfam family "Bacterial small subunit ribosomal RNA", at positions 28 to 1381 of the family's 1533-position model. The record is from RNAcentral.